RNAcentral lists this non-coding RNA (22 nucleotides) under Arabidopsis thaliana (thale cress). Lineage: Eukaryota; Viridiplantae; Streptophyta; Magnoliopsida; Brassicales; Brassicaceae. The record is from RNAcentral.
UGUGCUGAUAGAUGAGGAUCUG